UACAGAGGUCCCAAGCGUUGUUCGGAUUCACUGGGCGUAAAGGGCUCGUAGGCGGUUUGUCGCGUCGGGAGUGAAAUCCACUGGCUUAACUGGUGGCUUGCUUUCGAUACGGGCAGACUGGAGGUAUGCAGGGGAGAACGGAAUUCCUGGUGUAGCGGUGAAAUGCGCAGAUAUCCGGAGGAACACCGGUGGCGAAGGCGGCUUCCUGGACCGACACUGACGCUGAGGCGCGAAAGCUAGGGGAGCAAACGGG
This 253-nucleotide ribosomal RNA is filed under the name uncultured bacterium. RNAcentral describes it as "partial 16S ribosomal RNA". It matches the Rfam family "Bacterial small subunit ribosomal RNA", at positions 524 to 776 of the family's 1533-position model. The record is from RNAcentral.